AGAAGUUUCGAAAAACUUAUCACAGUUCAUUUUCGUGUGUACACAAAGAAAAACAACAAACUCAAAGGAAAAUUGUGAAAAACUCGAAUAUGGAAGAUACUCCGAUGCCCAAUAUCGACAUGCAUCGUCUCAUUAUAAGACGAAAAAUGACUGCCUUAAAGGAGUGCCUGAAGAACACUGAUAAGUUAUUGGAUGACGCGUUACUUUCUUUGGAAAGUGUUCCUGUGAGAACUGAUGAAAAUGAAGAAGAGGAGGAAGAGGAAAAGAGCAAACAAAAAAGUAAAGAAGUGAAGCCAGAAAAUAAUACGAACGACAAAUCGGACAGAAAAUGGUCUGUUACAUCCAUAUACUUUUGAAAAUGCUUAAGUUUCUUCACAUUUCUUAUAUUUGAGCCCAAAUACAACCUUUAGUUCGUUUUAUCUACGAUAAA
Long non-coding RNA from Culicoides brevitarsis, 430 nucleotides. RefSeq lists it as uncharacterized. The transcript has 4 exons. Lineage: Eukaryota; Metazoa; Arthropoda; Insecta; Diptera; Ceratopogonidae. The record is from RefSeq and is a predicted model, not a curated record.